GAUGAACGCUAGCGGCAGGCUUAACACAUGCAAGUCGAGGGGUAGAGUAGCAAUACUUGAGACCGGCGCACGGGUGCGUAACGCGUAUGCAAUCUACCUUUUACAGAGGGAUAGCCCAGAGAAAUUUGGAUUAAUACCUCAUAGCAUAGCAGCUUCGCAUGAAGCCACUAUUAAAGUCACAACGGUAAAAGAUGAGCAUGCGUCCCAUUAGCUAGUUGGUAAGGUAACGGCUUACCAAGGCUACGAUGGGUAGGGUCCUGAGAGGGAGAUCCCCCACACUGGUACUGAGACACGGACCAGACUCCUACGGGAGGCAGCAGUGAGGAAUAUUGGACAAUGGGCGCAAGCCUGAUCCAGCCAUGCCGCGUGCAGGAUGACGGUCCUA
This 385-nucleotide ribosomal RNA is filed under the name uncultured bacterium. RNAcentral's name for it is "bacterial SSU rRNA". It matches the Rfam family "Bacterial small subunit ribosomal RNA", at positions 28 to 419 of the family's 1533-position model. The record is from RNAcentral.